AAUCUGGCCCUUAGGUACGGAAUAAACUCGAAGAGAAAUUUGUGCUAAGUACCGUAUGAUGUCGAAAGACCAAAGAUUUAUCGCCUAAGGAUGAGCCCGCGUAAGAUUAGCUUGUUGGUGAGGUAAAAGCUCACCAAGGCGACGAUCUUUAGCUGGUCUGAGAGGAUGAUCAGCCACACUGGGACUGAGACACGGCCCAGACUCCUACGGGAGGCAGCAGUGGGGAAUAUUGGACAAUGGGCGAAAGCCUGAUCCAGCAAUGCCGCGUGAGUGAUGAAGGCCUUAGGGUUGUAAAGCUCUUUUACCAGGGAUGAUAAUGACAGUACCUGGAGAAUAAGCUCCGGCUAACUCCGUG
Molecule: ribosomal RNA, 355 nt
Filed under: uncultured bacterium
Lineage: Bacteria
Description: bacterial SSU rRNA
Rfam family: Bacterial small subunit ribosomal RNA
Source: RNAcentral